GUGGCGAACGGGUGAGUAAUGUAUCGGAACGUACCUUUCAGUGGGGGAUAACGUAGCGAAAGUUACGCUAAUACCGCAUAUUCUGUGAGCAGGAAAGCAGGGGAUCGCAAGACCUUGCGCUGAUUGAGCGGCCGAUAUCAGAUUAGCUAGUUGGUGAGGUAAAGGCUCACCAAGGCGACGAUCUGUAGCGGGUCUGAGAGGAUGAUCCGCCACACUGGAACUGAGACACGGUCCAGACUCCUACGGGAGGCAGCAGUGGGGAAUUUUGGACAAUGGGGGCAACCCUGAUCCAGCCAUGCCGCGUGAGUGAAGAAGGCCUUCGGGUUGUAAAGCUCUUUCGGCCGGGAAGAAAUCGUAUGGGUUAAUACCCUGUGCGGACGACGGUACCGGCAUAAGAAGCACCGGCUAACUACGUGCCAGCAGCCGCGGUAAUACGUAGGGUGCGAGCGUUAAUCGGAAUUACUGGGCGUAAAGCGUGCGCAGGCGGUUUUGUAAGACAGGCGUGAAAUCCCCGGGCUCAACCUGGGAACUGCGCUUGUGACUGCAAGGCUAGAGUAUGGCAGAGGGGGGUGGAAUUCCACGUGUAGCAGUGAAAUGCGUAGAGAUGUGGAGGAACACCAAUGGCGAAGGCAGCCCCCUGGGCCAAUACUGACGCUCAUGCACGAAAGCGUGGGUAGCAAAUAGGAUUAGAUACCCUGGUAGUCCACGCCCUAAACGAUGUCAACUAGGUGUUGGGUGGGUAAAACCAUUUAGUACCGGAGCUAACGCGUGAAGUUGACCGCCUGGGGAGUACGGCCGCAAGGUUAAAACUCAAAGGAAUUGACGGGGACCCGCACAAGCGGUGGAUGAUGUGGAUUAAUUCGAUGCAACGCGAAAAACCUUACCUACCCUUGACAUGUCCAGGAGCCUGAAGAGAUUUGGGUGUGCCCGAAAGGGAACUGGAACACAGGUGCUGCAUGGCUGUCGUCAGCUCGUGUCGUGAGAUGUUGGGUUAAGUCCCGCAACGAGCGCAACCCUUGUCGUUAAUUGCCAUCAUUUAGUUGGGCACUUUAACGAGACUGCCGGUGACAAACCGGAGGAAGGUGGGGAUGACGUCAAGUCCUCAUGGCCCUUAUGGGUAGGGCUUCACACGUCAUACAAUGGUCGGUACAAAGGGUUGCCAACCCGCGAGGGGGAGCCAAUCCCAGAAAGCCGAUCGUAGUCCGGAUUGCAGGCUGCAACUCGCCUGCAUGAAGUCGGAAUCGCUAGUAAUCGUGGAUCAGCAUGUCACGGUGAAUACGUUCCCGGGUCUUGUACACACCGCCCGUCACACCAUGGGAGCGGGUUCCGCCAGAAGUAGGUAGCCUAACCGCAAGGGGGGCGCUUACCACGGCGGGGUUCGUGACUGGUGAAGUCGGAACAAGGUA
This 1406-nucleotide ribosomal RNA is filed under the name metagenome. RNAcentral describes it as "bacterial SSU rRNA". It matches the Rfam family "Bacterial small subunit ribosomal RNA". The record is from RNAcentral.